AUUCGCCUGGGGUGUGCGAGGACUCUUAUUUAUGUCUAACCUACAUAGUUUUUAGGGAAACCGAUUUGAGCCUGAAGAUGCUGGGUCGUCUUCGAACGAAUAGCUGAGGCAGGACUUAGGUUACCCACCUGCGAGUCGCAGGUUUAGGCAUAUAAGAGUAACGGCAUUCUGGACCCCUU
RNAcentral lists this non-coding RNA (179 nucleotides) under Selenomonas sp. RNAcentral describes it as "6S RNA". It matches the Rfam family "6S / SsrS RNA". Rfam says of the family: E. coli 6S RNA was the first non coding RNA to be sequenced, but its function was unknown until recently. The record is from RNAcentral. Lineage: Bacteria; Bacillati; Bacillota; Negativicutes; Selenomonadales; Selenomonadaceae.